GGUCCAUCGUACCGCGAGCCCAACAUCUACGAAUUUGGAACCCCUUAUCACAAGAUGUACGAUGACCUCCUCCGCAAGAACCCUGAAUUGUACAAGCGCAAUAGGAUCUUGCCGAUGUUGAAGAGGAAUAUGAGUGUGAAGCUAGCGCCUCAGCGCUGGUAGGAUAAUGCUGCUGAUGGCCCCUUUGAUGUUGUUCUCAGUUUCGAAGAUAGGGUUUUCGAUGCGAUCGUUGAUGAUUUUGUAUUCGCUUUCAUCUCUCGAGAUCAUGGUGGAAACGAGGGCUUCUUCU
Molecule: long non-coding RNA, 289 nt
Organism: Asparagus officinalis (garden asparagus)
Lineage: Eukaryota; Viridiplantae; Streptophyta; Magnoliopsida; Asparagales; Asparagaceae
Exons: 3
Source: RefSeq, a predicted model, not a curated record